Rhinolophus ferrumequinum (greater horseshoe bat) is the source of this 2868-nucleotide long non-coding RNA. RefSeq lists it as uncharacterized. The record is from RefSeq and is a predicted model, not a curated record. The transcript has 3 exons. NCBI's taxonomy places the organism in Eukaryota, Metazoa, Chordata, Mammalia, Chiroptera, Rhinolophidae.
CGAGAAAAGAGGAAGGAGAGACAAGUGCAGCCCAGGGAGGCAUUUUUGCCAUCACCACGGCCGCAGCUGUGCCACGACUCAGGCUGCCAGGAGGAAAGAGAGCAGUGCGAUCCUCGCAGUGCAGAGCGUGGAGCCCUGGAGGGCAGGUCCAGCCAGUUCUCUCAACCCCAUUUUAUAGAGGAGAAAACAGGUCCACAAAGAUGAAGUGAAUUGUCGAACAGUCUGGACUUGUACAGGGGCCUGAUCUCGUGACACUGGCAUUUCCUGGCACGUCCAGGUUCAAGAGUGUGUCCUCAUGCAUUUCAUCAUAACUGCAAUGAUGUGAAGCUGGCAGGGCAGAACGGCCAUCCUCCUUUGAGAGAGGACGGAAAAGAGGAUCCCAGAGGGUGGCUCACCGAGGAUCAUCUGACUUCAUGUUUUGGCUUUAAGCUACGAAUCUGAAUUUUCUAUGAGAAAACCCAUUGUUUCAGAGGAGAGUAUAGAAGUUCAAAUAUAGAGCCCAACUUGAUAUUGGCUGUUGGCUCAAUCUGCGUGGACUACCAUAACAAAGAACCGCAGAACGGUGGCUUUAACAACCGAAAUCUGUUUCUCACAGCUGUGGAGGUUGGAAGUCCCAGAGGAUUUGGUUCCUGGUGAGGGCUCUCUUCCUGGCUUGCAGACAGCUGCCUUUUCUCUGUGUUCUCUUGCCGUGUCUCACAUGAGAGACCUCUCUCUUUCCCUCUUUUCCUAUAAGGCCACAGUUCUAUCAGAUUAUCUCCCUACCACCCCUUAUGAUCUCAUGUAACUUUAAUUACCUCCUAAAGACCCUAUCUCCACAUAUCAUCAUGCUGGGGCUAGGACUUCAACAUACAAAUAUGGGGGGGACACAAUUCAGUCCAUAGAAAGUAUGUCUAGGAGAGAUCAGCCUGGCUUCUAACAUACCUUAUAUUUUAGCGAAUUCACUUUGGUCCAAGGACUUCAGGUCGUCAGAUCCUCAGAUAAGCUCAGUCUUGUAUAUGCUCCAGAUGUGAUCAGACAUUGGUUGCUGACACACCUUACCCAAGUCCAAAGUUACACAUUUCUUAAGAUAAACUAAUUGCAUUACAAUAAAAUUUUGCAGCCUUAAGAAGUAGCAACUUUAUCUCCAAUAUCAUCUAUUAAGUGUUGAUUUGUAUUUACUCUCAGAGCUAGUUUAUUUCUGUUUCUUAUGGAACAUUUCACUGUCACUUCCAUGCAUCACUUAUAUGGACCAAGAGCCGUCUGUUCACUCUUAGUUAAGCUUGAUUUUUCCUCUCUUUGCUCCAGUUCUCCUAGUAUUUUUGAGAAUCUUGUUGAUAUCCAUGGACUCUUCAUUUCUUAUGUCAGAGAAGACAUGCUAUGCCUCACCUUCUGCAUUAUGUUAAUGUAAGGUUCUUGCUUAUUGUUUCCAUGAAAAGUCAGACUCAACAACCUGUUAUUUCCAUUUUAAUUUAAUAACAAUUUUUUUGGGAGACUUAAUUCUGGAAACAGAAGGAGCCUAACACAGUGGUAGCUUUUUUAAUAUACAUUUCCCCAAACUCUGCCUGAAAUUCUCACUUUGCUUUUCUUAUAUUGCCUGUAAACCUACUGAUUUCAGAUUCUACUUUGAAAAAUGUGAAACUGAUACAGGCCAAAUGAAAGGGCUUCUCACUAUAGAAACUCUUUAAGUUUUCUUUCUUUCGUGUUUAACUCAUUAGUUUCUUAAUCAUAAAUAAUAGAUUGUUUUUAACCUGAAUCAUAGAAAUCUCCUACCCCCUCCUUUAGAUAAUUGCUCUGAAAUUUGUGAUUUGUGCUUAUUGAUUGUAAUCAUUGAAGCCUAAUGUUCUCUCCUACCCCUUCCAGGCCUGACUCCUGGACAAUUAAUGACACCUGAAUAACCGGUUAAGUGGCCACAGGCCCUAGAGAGCCGACAGAUUUUCCAUCAUGUAGCCACCUCACAUUAAUAUCUUUGAGCUCUGCUCUUUAAGCCAACACUUUUAAAUUUAUUAAUUAAAAUCUAUUUUUCCUCAUUUGGGGGUCUUGGGGAUACAGAUGAUACCCCAACAAGAUUACCAGUCCCAGCCAAAGAACCCAAUGCGGUCUUGCAGGUGGAUCUCGAGACCCCUUCCUCUCAUCUGAGAUCAAAUAGGGCGAGAGUUCUGUGAAUCCCCAACAGGUAGGGACAGCUCUAUGCCCUGCCCAGCAGGAAGCAGAUACAGAAGAAAAGACCUCCUGUUCCUCCACUACCCAUAGAGAUUUUAAGGGGAUCACGUCUCUCAAGGGGAAAACAAGGCAGGCAGUUAGAGAUAGACAUCGGGUCUCUACAUUCUUGUACAUCCAACACAACCCAUAGAAAGCGACUGCCGAAAAGACCUCCCCUCUCUGCCCAAAACUUUCCCUUUUUACUGUAAUUAUCUACCCCUAUGAGAAAACAAAUGGGUACAAAAUACCCAACUAGAUUAAACCUGCCACUCAUACCUUCUCAGUAAAGGCUACAAUGACCUCCAUUUCACCUGGACCUCAUUAUACCAUAUUAUAAUAUCAUACAUAUGCCCAGAAGUUCCUUAAUAUCAUUAUAACAGACUGAAUUCUGGGAAGGAACAUGCACAGUCUAAAGAGAGGAGGUAAUGGCCCUUUGUCAAUCACAGGUGUCAAUCAAUUAGUCCCACGCCCAGAGAGGAACAGCCCAUUAUAGAGAAAAAAAAGGGAUUAAAAACUCCAAGUCCUCACCAUUCAGGGCCUUUUGAGCCUCUUUUUUUGCUCGGCCUGCUCCAAACUCUUUGGAGUGCACUUUUUCUCCUAAUAAUGCCACCUUUGGCCCUGGAGCUAUUCUCUGCUGCUCGGGUCCACUUCUAUUUCUUUGGAGUGUACUGUCUCUUCUAAAAAACUAUU